CUUCCGGGCGUCGGCGCUGACCCUGCUGCCGGGGUGGCCGCCUCGAGCAGGAGCUUCUCGGCCCUCUGGGCGAGCCUGCCCUUGAGCAGGUCGACGGAGAGCCUGAACCUCUCCAGCUCCUCCAGACCGAGGCCGUCCGCGUCCAGGUCCCUCCAGUAGUGCUCGCCCGUGGCCUUCAGGGCCUUCUCUGCCUCCUCCUUCUUCUUCUUCUCGACCUCCAGCCUGUUAGACAGCUCCGUGUGCUGGCGGUUCAGGUCCUUGAAGGCGGGAUGAGGAGGCGCGGCGGAGGGGACGACAGCUCCUCCCGGGCCGGGCUCGCCGAGAAAACGGUCGACGACGGUCUCGACAGAGGGGUGCCCGAAGGAGAAAACCUUGCCGGCGGGGGAGAAAACGACGACCCCG
RNAcentral lists this long non-coding RNA (402 nucleotides) under Spirodela polyrhiza (greater duckweed). RNAcentral describes it as "long non-coding RNA (SPOL_LNC001780)". The record is from RNAcentral. Lineage: Eukaryota; Viridiplantae; Streptophyta; Magnoliopsida; Alismatales; Araceae.